GGGACUUUGGAGAAGCUGCGUUUUAUGCAGUGCCGAAGGUGAAAGCGCAUCGCGUGAAUCUCUCAGGCAAAAGGACAAAGU
RNAcentral lists this non-coding RNA (81 nucleotides) under bovine gut metagenome. RNAcentral's name for it is "Glycine riboswitch". It matches the Rfam family "Glycine riboswitch aptamer", at positions 8 to 87 of the family's 94-position model. Rfam says of the family: This family represents the bacterial glycine riboswitch. Glycine riboswitches usually consist of two metabolite-binding aptamers domains with similar structures in tandem. The record is from RNAcentral.